UACGUAGGGGGCAAGCGUUGUCCGGAUUCACUGGGCGUAAAGGGUGCGUAGGCGGGAAGGUAAGUCCGCGGUGAAAUCUCACGGCUCAACCGUGAAACUGCCGUUGAUACUGCUUUUCUUGAGUUCGGGAGAGGUUGAUGGAAUUCCAGGUGUAGCGGUGAAAUGCGUAGAUAUCUGGAAGAACACCAGUGGCGAAGGCGGUCAACUGGCCCGUAACUGACGCUGAGGCACGAAAGCGUGGGUAGCGAACAGG
This 253-nucleotide ribosomal RNA is filed under the name uncultured bacterium. Its description in RNAcentral is "partial 16S ribosomal RNA". It matches the Rfam family "Bacterial small subunit ribosomal RNA", at positions 524 to 776 of the family's 1533-position model. The record is from RNAcentral.